GGGCUUUGGCAAGCGCGUACGCUAAAUUGGAUACGAUACAGAGAAGAUUAGCAUGGCCCCUGCGCAAGGA
Molecule: small nuclear RNA, 70 nt
Filed under: Haplochromis burtoni (Burton's mouthbrooder)
Lineage: Eukaryota; Metazoa; Chordata; Actinopteri; Cichliformes; Cichlidae
Source: RNAcentral